Molecule: transfer RNA, 125 nt
Filed under: Fusarium poae
Lineage: Eukaryota; Fungi; Ascomycota; Sordariomycetes; Hypocreales; Nectriaceae
Description: tRNA-iMet
Source: RNAcentral
AGCAACUUGGCGCAGUGGAAGCGCGGUAUGUUAAUCUCAAACGUCCCACACUACGAUUCUUUACUAACACAAACACAGCCGGGCUCAUAACCCGGAGGUCGCUCGAUCGAAACGAGUAGUUGCUA